UGUCUGUUGGCUGAAAGCCUGGAGCCUUGCCCACUCACUCUGGAAAGGCCUCACAAGACCCACAAGGUUGUAUGGGUCUCAGAGAAAGGCCAAGACCAACCAUUCAGUAGGUCACCCGCUAACCUCCCUAGUGUUGUAACUCCCAGGCUGGAUCCUCACCUGCCUACUCAAAGCAGGCUCGACAAGGCUAGCAAGGUUUCAACCGUCCUCCCAUGCCUCCCAGCUGCCAGCCUACCCACUCAGAGCAGGCCCCCUGGGAUCCACAAGGCUCCUCAAUCUGUCCAGUCUCUGAAGUUGCCGGAGAUGCCUGCCUCUCAAAUGGAGCAUACCCCAUUUAAAAAAAACAUGGUCCAAGAGCAAGACAGGGAGUUAUGAUACCAUCCUUACUUCACACCCAGGACUCUGCUCCUUGUUAUUGAAGCUGAUGACCAAAUGGUCAUCCAAGACGUCCUCAUCUCCACCUCACCUCCCCCGCAAAACAAGAAGUCAUCAGGCUGGAGGAUUCACUUUAAGUGAGUCCUGAGCGUGGCUCUCUCUUCCAGUCAAGGAAUCACUCCCUCUACCCACUAAGAUAAAGAGCUUGGUCAUCUGGCCUCACUAUCUAGACCAAAAGCCACACCAGGGUACGACCAGAGGGGAAGGACUGGAGUCAUGGCGUCUAUUUCAACGUUUUAUAUGUAGGUGGGACAACAGCGCCCUCAGCUGGUCAGCUGCAGCUCCGGUGGUCAGCUUCACCAGCCUUCUAGGUGCCAUCGCUCCCAUUCAUCAUCACCCAGUCUGUUAAUUGUCUUGUCCCCAUCAUCACACCUGGUUCCCAUUAUCUCAUCUGUGAGUGUGUGUGUGUGUGUGUGUGUGUAGGUCUCUUCUGCCCCUCAUUCUGUAUUCAUCAAUGUUAAAUGUUACAUGUAUUCUUUCUAUGUGGACAUUGCACCUUGCAUUUCCAUUACCCAUGUAUGCGUUCUUCU
This is a long non-coding RNA of Esox lucius (northern pike), 965 nucleotides long. RefSeq lists it as uncharacterized. The record is from RefSeq and is a predicted model, not a curated record. NCBI's taxonomy places the organism in Eukaryota, Metazoa, Chordata, Actinopteri, Esociformes, Esocidae. The transcript has 3 exons.